UGACAUAGGUCUCAAAGUACUAGCUGCCUGGCUUUGUCUGAUUUUGUUUUUUUAUUAGAGACAUGGAAGAAGUAUGCAGCAAAGGAAAAAAAGUUUUCCUUUGCCGAUAUAAACAAUAAAGUCCUUGUGACAGUCCUCAAACCAGUGCGGAUGGAAAACGACCCCUUCCCUACGUAUUUUCCUGGAAAAACUGCUGACUUUCUACCAGUUUUCCAGGAUUGCCCUUCCAAAUGACCUUUUUGUUUGUCAAAGAAACCACCGGCACAACAGCCUACCCAGCUGGCUGCAGACCAGGCUGGGAUGUUCGUAAGUAUCAGUAUCCUGCUAAUUUCUCUCCCAGCCUCGUCUCCUCCUCUCCUAUCUCUCUACAAGCAAAAGAAGAAUUAACAAAGCCCGGGGAAGGGAUUUGUUUGUUUGUGUCGCACAUCUGUGCCAGCGAUCAGACCUGUUAACCAUCCUUUCAAGCAAGCCCGCAGAAUGCCAGUUGUGACAGAUUUGAAGUAAUGUUGAUGGUGCCCUGGGACUUGAUAGAAGUAAUUUGAUAAAGUCAGCAGCAGCUUGCGGGGCGGAGACAGCAAAAGGAGAUAAACAACACUGUCAGAAGCUCGGCCCGUCAAUGCCCGAAAACACAAUAGGACCCCGCAACGAUCCAAUACCGGAACGCAAAUGUGACAACUAGAGCCGCUUUGCCAUGCUUGCACUAAAGGAAAUAUUUCAUUAUUAACGACACACGUCAAGAGACUGCAUGGUUUGUUGACCUGGGGACAAAAGUUAAGUGACAAAUUAAAAAAAAAAUCAAGGCAGAAAGCUGCUUGUCACAGGUGGGCUGACAUAUAUGCACAUGAUUAUAACUUUAUUUAAAAUACAGUACAUGUCCCAUGGGGUAAUAAACAGAUUUUAAAUGAGA
Molecule: long non-coding RNA, 907 nt
Organism: Rana temporaria (common frog)
Lineage: Eukaryota; Metazoa; Chordata; Amphibia; Anura; Ranidae
Exons: 3
Source: RefSeq, a predicted model, not a curated record